RNAcentral lists this ribosomal RNA (263 nucleotides) under uncultured Atopobium sp. RNAcentral's name for it is "partial 16S ribosomal RNA". It matches the Rfam family "Bacterial small subunit ribosomal RNA", at positions 92 to 355 of the family's 1533-position model. The record is from RNAcentral. Lineage: Bacteria; Bacillati; Actinomycetota; Coriobacteriia; Coriobacteriales; Atopobiaceae.
AAAGUGGCGAACGGCUGAGUAACACGUGGGCAACCUGCCCUUUGCACUGGGAUAGCCUCGGGAAACCGAGGUUAAUACCGGAUACUCCAUAUUUGUCGCAUGGCGAAUAUGGGAAAGCUCCGGCGGCAAAGGAUGGGCCCGCGGCCUGUUAGCUAGUUGGUGGGGUAGUGGCCUACCAAGGCAAUGAUGGGUAGCCGGGUUGAGAGACCGACCGGCCAGAUUGGGACUGAGACACGGCCCAGACUCUACGGGAGGCAGCAGCA